AUUAGAUGGAUUGUCUAUCGGGUAUGCGUUAGCAAUCCGAACGAGGGCAAUAUUCAUUAUAAGACAUAUUCAGCCCAAACUCGCCUCGAUCAGAUGCUGCUCAUCUGUGUUGGGAUACCCGUACGUAUCAACCAGCCCAUCCACCAAAACAGAUAGUUAUCUAAAGCUCUAGCUAGAUCGUGUACGACAGCCACGCACAUUGGUGUCACGCCACACAGGUGCGAAAAUUGUGACCAUGUUUUUGCUCAGAUUCAGCAGAUGGUGCAGCACAAAAAUACAUACAAACGACAAUCGACUUAAUAGUUUACAUUUUUGCCCAGCCUCUUUCGUUGAAGGCUCCACUAAGAGCAAGCAUCAUCGUGAUGUGUUUAUAUCAAUGUCAGUCUUCCUUUUACUAAUAUAUGGCAAUCAAAUAAUCG
Drosophila montana is the source of this 419-nucleotide long non-coding RNA. RefSeq lists it as uncharacterized. The record is from RefSeq and is a predicted model, not a curated record. The transcript has 3 exons. Lineage: Eukaryota; Metazoa; Arthropoda; Insecta; Diptera; Drosophilidae.